UUAGAAACAAAAACAAGACAAAACAAAACAAUAAAGCAUUAGUAAAUCCCGCAGAAAUAACGUAAAUAAUUAUGUAAACAUAAGAAACAUAAAUACGGUCGCAUGCAAUAAUAACAAACCGUAACUACCAUACUAACAAUCCAUAAGGGGACAUAAGCUAAAACACUAAUCAUCUAUGGGUGACCCUGCUAUCCCACCCCCAACCCUGGGUGAGGCGUACGAAGAACUCUAUGAGCCCCUAGCCUACAACCCUGAUUCUAGACCUCCAGACUCCCCUAUCAAGGGUCAUGUCCUCGGAAACCUGCAUNN
This 309-nucleotide long non-coding RNA is filed under the name Nicotiana benthamiana. RNAcentral describes it as "long non-coding RNA (NBEN_LNC012369)". Lineage: Eukaryota; Viridiplantae; Streptophyta; Magnoliopsida; Solanales; Solanaceae. The record is from RNAcentral.